Molecule: long non-coding RNA, 1308 nt
Organism: Brassica rapa (field mustard)
Lineage: Eukaryota; Viridiplantae; Streptophyta; Magnoliopsida; Brassicales; Brassicaceae
Source: RefSeq, a predicted model, not a curated record
AAAAAAUAACUUAUAGAAACCACUUUUAAAACUCAUUAAAAGAUUAGAAUUGCUAUAGAAACUUGAAAAAAAAAAUAACUUAUAGAAACCACUUUUAAAACUCAUUAAAAGAUUAGAAUUGUUAUAGAAUAUUGAAAAAAAAUUAAAAAAAAACUUAUAGAAACCACUUUUAAAAUUUCUAUUAAAUCAUGGUAUAAAUAAAAAAAAUUAAUUUCUCUUUUUAAAAAAUAUAUAAUUUUUUUAUUAAUAAGGAUUUUACAUAUUGGUUUAGGGUCCUUAACUAUUAAGAAAAAAAAAAAUAGUAAAAUAAGUCUAAGGAUUCCACUGUGAGCCUCACCAUUGCGGAUGCUCUUAGAUCUGACACAUCGAGAGGCAACAGCUGUGAGGAGUCAACUAUAAUUAUCGAAUUGAAAGCUACGAUGAAUUUUUUUUCCUUCGAAAAGGCAAAAAUGCCUAUCACCAUUAUUCACUGCCUUUCUCAUUUUCUUCCUCCUUGUCUCCUCUCUGCAUCAACCGAACCGUAGAGACCAUCAAGUCCCACCUCCAUAAUUGCCACAUCCUCACCGCUAUCAACAACCCAUCUCUCCUCGAAGAUUAUAACGGUGCUGAGAUUAAAACUCGUCAACAACCCAUGUCUUCUUCUUUCUUCGCACCUCCUCUUGAGGUCAUGGGUCAAUCUCCUCCUCAAAGCCCCGAUGCUGCUUAAACUCCUCUCAUGUUUGCUCCUCAUGUUCUCUCUCAGAUUCACUUUUCUUGAAAACAGAUCUGAAAAAGUACCAUUCUACCUUCUUCAGUUUGGAUUUCUCUUCACCAUCAUUUUUGUGGCAGAAGAAAAAUCUAUUGGAGGCAAGGGAAAAGAUCCUUACCCAGAGAGAAGAAAUCAGAAGCUUUGCGUGCUGCUCUCCGUCAAGCAAAUGCUCAGAUUGCUGCAUUAGAGGUUUCUCGGUCUUCUGGUUUAAUUAAUGAAACUUUGAAGUCUAUUGAAGAUCACGUUACAGCACAUAUCAAUGAGACACAGAGGAUGGUCCGUAAAGUUGUAGUUUAUUCUGGUGGGGGUUUGCCUUAGCUACGGUCGUUCGUCUAUUGUCUGAAAAAGUAGAUGUUUUCGGAAGCUUUAUUGUUCUUAACUCAUGUUUAUUAUGUGUUCGUCUUUAUGUUAACUAUCAUGUCUACUCCUUUCUCUUACUUAAUCUGCUGUUCUUUGUUUGUAUUAAGUUCUUCUAUUAUUUGCUACCUUUAUUAAAAUGACCCCCCUCUGUUCGUUGUAAUAUAUCAAUCGUAAUGUUAUGUUUCAUUUUUAUGAAUUCA